GACGAAUGCUGGCGGCGUGCUUAACACAUGCAAGUCGAACGGUGAAGGGGAGCUUGCUCCCUGGAUUAGUGGCGAACGGGUGAGUAACACGUGGGCAACCUGCCCCUAACUUCGGGAUAACCAUUAGAAAGGAUGGCUAAUACCGGAUAUGAGCCCUGGAGACAUCUCAGGGGUUGGAAAGUCUUUCGGUGAGGGAUGGGCACGCGACCUAUCAGCUUGUUGGUGAGGUAACGGCUCACCAAGGCGAAGACGGGUAGCCGGCCUGAGAGGGCGACCGGCCACACUGGGACUGAGACACGGCCCAGACUCCUACGGGAGGCAGCAGUGGGGAAUAUUGCACAAUGGGCGCAAGCCUGAUGCAGCGACGCCGCGUGAGGGAUGAAGGCCUUCGGGUUGUAAACCUCUUUCAGUAGGGACGAAGCGCAAGUGACGGUACCUAAAGAAGAAGCACCGGCUAACUACGUGCCAGCAGCCGCGGUAA
Molecule: ribosomal RNA, 481 nt
Filed under: uncultured bacterium
Lineage: Bacteria
Description: partial 16S ribosomal RNA
Rfam family: Bacterial small subunit ribosomal RNA
Source: RNAcentral